GGAGCAAGAGCAGGAACAGGAACAGAGGAGCGUGCAGCAGAGGUCUACAAAGAGUCAGCAGAAAGAUGGAAGUGGAGAAGAAAGGCCAAGAGGACCAGGAGGGCCAAGAGAAGGCUGGAGCCAGCGCUCCAGAGGAGGAGAAAGUCUUGUGAAACAGUCCAGCCUUCCACCGGCCCAGAUAAGAGAAAGGCAGAGCCAGUCAGAAGAGCUGGGUCAGUGUUGGUGCAUGAAUCAAGCUCAACGCUGUUCUGUUUGAUGCAACACACCUGCUGACCUUGUCUACGAUUGUUUAUUUUUGAAUCCAUUUUGUUGGCAUGGUUUCAGAUGAAUUUAAGCAGAAACAAGAACUCAUAUUCACGUUGACUAUUUGAGUACAGUAGAGCCAUUCUGUAUGAGUUAUUGAGAA
This is a long non-coding RNA of Clupea harengus (Atlantic herring), 406 nucleotides long. RefSeq lists it as uncharacterized. The record is from RefSeq and is a predicted model, not a curated record. NCBI's taxonomy places the organism in Eukaryota, Metazoa, Chordata, Actinopteri, Clupeiformes, Clupeidae.